Molecule: ribosomal RNA, 455 nt
Filed under: uncultured bacterium
Lineage: Bacteria
Description: bacterial SSU rRNA
Rfam family: Bacterial small subunit ribosomal RNA
Source: RNAcentral
AGGCAGCAGUGGGGGAAUAUUGCACAAUGGGCGCAAGCCUGAUGCAGCCAUGCCGCGUGUAUGAAGAAGGCCUUCGGGUUGUAAAGUACUUUCAGCAGUGAGGAAGGUGGAUAUGUUAAUAGCAUAUUCAUUUGACGUUAGCUGCAGAAGAAGCACCGGCUAACUCCGUGCCAGCAGCCGCGGUAAUACGGAGGGUGCGAGCGUUAAUCGGAAUUACUGGGCGUAAAGCGCAUGCAGGUGGUUUGUUAAGUCAGAUGUGAAAGCCCGGGGCUCAACCUCGGAAUUGCAUUUGAAACUGGCAAACUAGAGUACUGUAGAGGGGGUAGAAUUUCAGGUGUAGCGGUGAAAUGCGUAGAGAUCUGAAGGAAUACCGGUGGCGAAGGCGGCCCCCUGGACAGAUACUGACACUCAGAUGCGAAAGCGUGGGGAGCAAACAGGAUUAGAUACCCUGGUAG